This 481-nucleotide ribosomal RNA is filed under the name Brachycerus lutosus. Its description in RNAcentral is "partial 16S ribosomal RNA". Lineage: Eukaryota; Metazoa; Arthropoda; Insecta; Coleoptera; Brachyceridae. The record is from RNAcentral.
CUUUUUGAGAAUAAUUUAAAGUCUGGCCUGCUCAAUGAUUGAAUUUAUUAAAUGGCCGCGGUAAAUUGACCGUGCAAAGGUNGCAUAAUCAUUAGUUUUUUAAUUAAAAGCUUGUAUGAAGGGUUUGAUGAGAAAAUAACUGUCUCUAAAUUAAUAUAUAGAAUUUUAUUUUUAAGUUAAAAAGCUUAGAUUAUAGUAGAAGACGAGAAGACCCUAUAGAAUUUUAUAUUUUUUGUAAAUAUGAAAUAUAGUAUUUAAAUUUUUAUAUUUUAUUUAAAAUAUUUAGUUGGGGUGAUUGAAAAAUUUAAUAAACUUUUUUUGUAUUAGUUCAUAUAUGUAUGAGUAGUUGAUCCUUAAAUAAAGAUUAUAAGAAUAAAUUACCUUAGGGAUAACAGCGUAAUUUUUUUUAAGAGUUCUUAUCGAAAAGAAAGAUUGCGACCUCGAUGUUGGAUUAAAGUUUAAUUUUGGUGUAGGUGCUAAA